RNAcentral lists this signal recognition particle RNA (83 nucleotides) under Klebsiella michiganensis. RNAcentral describes it as "partial signal recognition particle sRNA small type". It matches the Rfam family "Bacterial small signal recognition particle RNA", at positions 15 to 97 of the family's 97-position model. Rfam says of the family: The signal recognition particle (SRP) is a universally conserved ribonucleoprotein involved in the co-translational targeting of proteins to membranes. Archaeal SRP consists of a 7S RNA and homologues of the eukaryotic SRP19 and SRP54 proteins. Lineage: Bacteria; Pseudomonadati; Pseudomonadota; Gammaproteobacteria; Enterobacterales; Enterobacteriaceae. The record is from RNAcentral.
CAACGCUACUCUGUUUACCAGGUCAGGUCCGGAAGGAAGCAGCCAGAGCAGACGACGUGUGUGCCGGGAUGUAGCUGGCAGGG